UACGUAGGGUGCGAGCGUUAAUCGGAAUUACUGGGCGUAAAGCGUGCGCAGGCGGUUUUCCAAGACAGAUGUGAAAUCCCCGGGCUCAACCUGGGAAUGGCAUUUGUGACUGGGAGGCUAGAGUGUGUCAGAGGGGGGUAGAAUUCCACGUGUAGCAGUGAAAUGCGUAGAGAUGUGGAGGAAUACCGAUGGCGAAGGCAGCCCCCUGGGAUAACACUGACGCUCAUGCACGAAAGCGUGGGGAG
RNAcentral lists this ribosomal RNA (245 nucleotides) under uncultured bacterium. RNAcentral describes it as "partial 16S ribosomal RNA". It matches the Rfam family "Bacterial small subunit ribosomal RNA", at positions 524 to 768 of the family's 1533-position model. The record is from RNAcentral.